UACGGAGGGUGCAAGCGUUGUUCGGAAUUACUGGGCGUAAAGGGCGCGUAGGCGGUGUAGUAAGUCAGAUGUGAAAGCCCUGGGCUCAACCCAGGAAGUGCAUUUGAAACUACUACACUUGAGUAUGGGAGAGGAGAGUGGAAUUCCCAGUGUAGAGGUGAAAUUCGUAGAGAUUGGGAGGAACACCCGUGGCGAAGGCGACUCUCUGGACCAAUACUGACGCUGAGGCGCGAAAGAGUGGGGAGCAAACAGG
RNAcentral lists this ribosomal RNA (253 nucleotides) under uncultured bacterium. RNAcentral's name for it is "partial 16S ribosomal RNA". It matches the Rfam family "Bacterial small subunit ribosomal RNA", at positions 524 to 776 of the family's 1533-position model. The record is from RNAcentral.